Molecule: long non-coding RNA, 1356 nt
Organism: Astatotilapia calliptera (eastern happy)
Lineage: Eukaryota; Metazoa; Chordata; Actinopteri; Cichliformes; Cichlidae
Source: Ensembl
GGAGCAGUUUCCCACAUCUCAGAUGACCAAUCAAACAGGUUGUUUAGAUACCUGACAGGUGUUGUGAUUAUGACUGCUGCCAAAAGUAUAUAGACAGAGCUUGGCCCAGGGCCAGUUUCAUUUGCAGUGUGAACAUGGAAGCACCUCGCCAAGUACAACAGCAACUUCCUGCUCGAGGAAGAGGAGGAGUGAGAAUGCGUGGAGGAAUAGGGGGAAGAGGCCGAGGAGCACGGAGGCACCAUGAUGUCCCAGAUGAAAUCCGGGCCACCCUUAUUGACCACGUUAUAAACCAUCGCCUCACAAUGGCAGAGGCAGGUCGCCGAGUGCAGCCUAAUGUGCCUCGGUCUACAGUCUCCUCCAUCAUCCAAACCUUUCGCAGGGCAAACAGGUACAGAACUAUGCUAUUGAACUAUUCAGUGUUGGUGUGUGUGUAGGCCUAGAGUACUGUAAUAUCUUCAUGUGAUGUUAUAUGAUACUAUAAAAAUGACAAAGAAAAAAAAAUGGAGAAAAUACUGUGAAUAGUAUUCCAGUCACUGAGCAGUGCAUCACACUUUUAGUACCAUAAAACAGCAGUACAAUUACAUUGGUAACUCAUUUUGUAACAAAUUUACAGUGUUGACCUUUGACUUGUAUGUCUAGGUUUGGACGACAGCCUCAAGUGGGUGGCAGAAGAAAACUUCUAAAUGAACAACAAGAACAAGAAAUAUGCAACAUGAGAAUAAUGACAUUAGAAGGCAACGAAACCCUCACAUCCUGGUGUUCAUUGAUGAAGCUGGCUUCAACCUGGCCAAAGGUCGAAGGCGUGGCCGUAACAUCAUUGGCCACCAAGCCACUGUGGAUGUCCCAGGCCAGCGAGGAGCAAAUAUAACAAUGUGUGCCGCUAUAUCAGAAAGAGGUGUGGCCACACACAUUCCCAGUUUAGGGCCCUACAAUACACAAAAGCUCCUCAAUUUUUUGGACCACCUUUAUGCUGAUCUGAUCCCAGAAAAUGAGAGAGGUGAAGAAGGACCUCAGCUACCACAUUAUGUCAUUGUGUGGGAUAAUGUGAACUUCCACCGCGGCCCACGCAUCAGAACCUGGUUCACCACCCAUCCCCGGAUGCUAAUGGAGUUUCUUCCACCUUACUCUCCUUUCCUAAAUCCAAUUGAGGAGUUUUUUUCAGCUUGGAGGUGGAGGGUGUAUGAGCAUCAGGCUCAAGACCAGAGGGCCCUGCUGCAUGCAAUGGAUGCUGCAUGUGAGGACAUCACAGCGGAUCAAUGUAGGGGAUGGUGAGACAUUCACGCCGUUUCUUCCCUCGCUGCAUCGCAAGAGAAAAUAUCCGUUGCGAUGUGGAUGAGAAUUUAUGGCCUGACAGAG